UACGUAGGGUGCAAGCGUUGUCCGGAAUUAUUGGGCGUAAAGAGCUCGUAGGCGGUUUGUCGCGUCUGCUGUGAAAACUCGGGGCUUAACCCCGGGCCUGCAGUGGGUACGGGCAGACUGGAGUGCGGUAGGGGAGAAUGGAAUUCCCGGUGUAGCGGUGGAAUGCGCAGAUAUCAGGAGGAACACCGAUGGCGAAGGCAGUUCUCUGGGCCGUAACUGACGCUGAGGAGCGAAAGCGUGGGGAGCGAACAGG
This 253-nucleotide ribosomal RNA is filed under the name uncultured bacterium. Its description in RNAcentral is "partial 16S ribosomal RNA". It matches the Rfam family "Bacterial small subunit ribosomal RNA", at positions 524 to 776 of the family's 1533-position model. The record is from RNAcentral.